UGGGGAAUAUUGGACAAUGGGGGGAACCCUGAUCCAGCCAUGCCGCGUGUGUGAAGAAGGCCUUAUGGUUGUAAAGCACUUUAAGCGAGGAGGAGGGUACUGGUAUUAAUACUACCAGGUACUGGACGUUACUCGCAGAAUAAGCACCGGCUAACUCUGUGCCAGCAGCCGCGGUAAUACAGAGGGUGCGAGCGUUAAUCGGAUUUACUGGGCGUAAAGCGUGCGUAGGCGGCUAAUUGAGUCGGAUGUGAAAUCCCCGAGCUUAACUUGGGAAAUGCAUUCGAUACUGGUUAGCUAGAGUGUGGGAGAGGAUGGUAGAAUUCCAGGUGUAGCGGUGAAAUGCGUAGAGAUCUGGAGGAAUACCGAUGGCGAAGGCAGCCAUCUGGCCUAACACUGACGCUGAGGUACGAAAGCAUGGGGAGCAAACAGG
RNAcentral lists this ribosomal RNA (430 nucleotides) under Pseudomonadota bacterium. Its description in RNAcentral is "Proteobacteria bacterium partial 16S ribosomal RNA". It matches the Rfam family "Bacterial small subunit ribosomal RNA", at positions 355 to 776 of the family's 1533-position model. Lineage: Bacteria; Pseudomonadati; Pseudomonadota. The record is from RNAcentral.